Molecule: ribosomal RNA, 974 nt
Filed under: Lophiostoma caulium
Lineage: Eukaryota; Fungi; Ascomycota; Dothideomycetes; Pleosporales; Lophiostomataceae
Description: SSU rRNA
Rfam family: Eukaryotic small subunit ribosomal RNA
Source: RNAcentral
CAAUCAGUUAUCGUUUAUUUGAUAGUACCUUACUACUUGGAUAACCGUGGUAAUUCUAGAGCUAAUACAUGCUGAAAACCCUGACUUCGGAAAGGGUGUAUUUAUUAGAUAAAAAACCAAUGCCCUUUGGGCUCUUUGGUGAUUCAUGAUAACUUAACGGAUCGCAUGGCCUUGCGCCGGCGACGGUUCAUUCAAAUUUCUGCCCUAUCAACUUUCGAUGGUAAGGUAUUGGCUUACCAUGGUUUCAACGGGUAACGGGGAAUUAGGGUUCGAUUCCGGAGAGGGAGCGUGAGAAACGGCUACCACAUCCAAGGAAGGCAGCAGGCGCGCAAAUUACCCAAUCCCGACACGGGGAGGUAGUGACAAUAAAUACUGAUACAGGGCUCUUUUGGGUCUUGUAAUCGGAAUGAGUACAAUUUAAACCUCUUAACGAGGAACAAUUGGAGGGCAAGUCUGGUGCCAGCAGCCGCGGUAAUUCCAGCUCCAAUAGCGUAUAUUAAAGUUGUUGCAGUUAAAAAGCUCGUAGUUGAAUCUUGGGCCUGGCUGGCCGGUCCGCCUCACCGCGUGUACUGGUCUGGCCGGGCCUUUCCUUCUGGAGAACCUCAUGCCCUUCAGUGGGUGUGUUGGGGAACCAGGACUUUUACUUUGAAAAAAUUAGAGUGUUCAAAGCAGGCCUUUGCUCGAAUACGUUAGCAUGGAAUAAUAGAAUAGGACGUGCGGUCCUAUUUUGUUGGUUUCUAGGACCGCCGUAAUGAUUAAUAGGGAUAGUCGGGGGCAUCAGUAUUCAAUUGUCAGAGGUGAAAUUCUUGGAUUUAUUGAAGACUAACUACUGCGAAAGCAUUUGCCAAGGAUGUUUUCAUUAAUCAGUGAACGAAAGUUAGGGGAUCGAAGACGAUCAGAUACCGUCGUAGUCUUAACCGUAAACUAUGCCGACUAGGGAUCGGGCGAUGUUUCUAUCUUGACUCGCUCGGCAC